UGGAGCAUGUGGUUAAUUCGACGCAACGCGAAGAACCUUACCAGGGCUUGACAUCCCCUGACCGCGUAUGAAAGUACGUUUUCACCCUCGGGUGACAGGGAGACAGGUGGUGCAUGGUUGUCGUCAGCUCGUGUCGUGAGAUGUUGGGUUAAGUCCCGCAACGAGCGCAACCCCUACGUUUAGUUGCUAACGCGUGAAGGCGAGCACUCUAGACGAACUGCCGUUGACAAAACGGAGGAAGGUGGGGAUGACGUCAAAUCAUCAUGCCCCUUAUGUUCUGGGCUACACACGUGCUACAAUGGCCGGUACAGACGGACGCAAAGCCGCGAGGUGGAGCAAAUCCUAAGAAGCCGGUCUCAGUUCGGAUUGCAGGCUGCAAUUCGCCUGCAUGAAGUCGGAAUCGCUAGUAAUCGCAGGUCAGCAUACUGCGGUGAAUACGUUCCCGGGCCUU
RNAcentral lists this ribosomal RNA (451 nucleotides) under uncultured Pelotomaculum sp. Its description in RNAcentral is "bacterial SSU rRNA". It matches the Rfam family "Bacterial small subunit ribosomal RNA", at positions 933 to 1382 of the family's 1533-position model. The record is from RNAcentral. Lineage: Bacteria; Bacillati; Bacillota; Clostridia; Eubacteriales; Desulfotomaculaceae.